AUUCUUUGAUGAUAAAAUCAUGACGGUCUUCAUAAAACAAAUUGCUGAGGAACCUUGACUCUUUUCACAAAAUGUGAAAAUACUGACAUU
This 90-nucleotide small nucleolar RNA is filed under the name Drosophila ananassae. RNAcentral describes it as "snoRNA:GF26093". Lineage: Eukaryota; Metazoa; Arthropoda; Insecta; Diptera; Drosophilidae. The record is from RNAcentral.